CAAAAAAUAAGUUAAAUAAAAACUAUAAAUUUUGGAGAUUUAAAUUGAAAACUUCUUUUUUGA
This 63-nucleotide transfer RNA is filed under the name Galendromus occidentalis (western predatory mite). RNAcentral's name for it is "tRNA-Pro". Lineage: Eukaryota; Metazoa; Arthropoda; Arachnida; Mesostigmata; Phytoseiidae. The record is from RNAcentral.